RNAcentral lists this ribosomal RNA (821 nucleotides) under uncultured Actinomycetes bacterium. Its description in RNAcentral is "bacterial SSU rRNA". It matches the Rfam family "Bacterial small subunit ribosomal RNA", at positions 61 to 918 of the family's 1533-position model. Lineage: Bacteria; Bacillati; Actinomycetota; Actinomycetes. The record is from RNAcentral.
GUCGAGCGGGGCCCAACCGGCAGCAAUGCCGGGGAAGGUCUAGCGGCGAACGGGCGAGUAACACGUGAGCAACCUGCCCCGAAGUUCGGGAUAACACCGGGAAACCGGUGCUAAUACCGGGUACCCCCACCUGACCGCAUGAUCGGGUGAGGAAAGAUUCAUCGCUUCGGGAGGGGCUCGCGGGCUAUCAGCUUGUUGGUGAGGUAACGGCUCACCAAGGCGACGACGGCUAGCUGGUCUGAGAGGACGACCAGCCACACUGGGACUGAGACACGGCCCAGACUCCUACGGGAGGCAGCAGUGGGGAAUCUUGCGCAAUGGGCGAAAGCCUGACGCAGCAACGCCGCGUGGGGGAUGAAGGCCUUCGGGUUGUAAACCCCUUUCGACAGGAACGAAAUUGACGGUACCUGGAGAAGAAGCCCCGGCCAACUACGUGCCAGCAGCCGCGGUAAUACGUAGGGGGCGAGCGUUGUCCGGAUUCAUUGGGCGUAAAGAGCUCGUAGGCGGUUUGGCAGUCAGGUGUGAAAUCUCCGGGCUCACUCGGAGAGGCACCUGAUACUGCUAUGACUAGAGCCGGUAGGGGACCAUGGAAUUCCUGGUGUACGGUGAAAUGCGCAGAUUCAGGAGGAACCCGGUGGCGAAGCGGUGGUCUGGGCCGGCCUGACCUGAGGAGCGAAACGUGGGGAGCGACAGGAUUAAUACCCUGGUAUCCACGCCGUAACGUUGGGCACUAGGUGUGGGACUUAUAACGGGUUCGUGCCGAGCUACGCAUUAGUGCCCGCCUGGGAGACGGCGCAGGCUAAACUCAAGGAAUGACGGGG